This 451-nucleotide ribosomal RNA is filed under the name uncultured bacterium. RNAcentral's name for it is "partial 16S ribosomal RNA". It matches the Rfam family "Bacterial small subunit ribosomal RNA", at positions 354 to 796 of the family's 1533-position model. The record is from RNAcentral.
GUGGGGAAUAUUGGACAAUGGGGGGAACCCUGAUCCAGCCAUGCCGCGUGUGUGAAGAAGGCCUUUUGGUUGUAAAGCACUUUAAGCGAGGAGGAGGCUACCGAGAUUAAUACUCUUGGAUAGUGGACGUUACUCGCAGAAUAAGCACCGGCUAACUCUGUGCCAGCAGCCGCGGUAAUACAGAGGGUGCAAGCGUUAAUCGGAUUUACUGGGCGUAAAGCGCUCGUAGGUGGCCAAUUAAGUCAAAUGUGAAAUCCCCGAGCUUAACUUGGGAAUUGCAUUCGAUACUGGUUGGCUAGAGUAUGGGAGAGGAUGGUAGAAUUCCAGGUGUAGCGGUGAAAUGCGUAGAGAUCUGGAGGAAUACCGAUGGCGAAGGCAGCCAUCUGGCCUAAUACUGACACUGAGGUGCGAAAGCAUGGGGAGCAAACAGGAUUAGAUACCCUAGUAGUCC